This 403-nucleotide ribosomal RNA is filed under the name uncultured bacterium. RNAcentral's name for it is "partial 16S ribosomal RNA". It matches the Rfam family "Bacterial small subunit ribosomal RNA", at positions 29 to 526 of the family's 1533-position model. The record is from RNAcentral.
AUUGAACGCUGGCGGCAGGCCUAACACAUGCAAGUCGAGCGAGCGGCGGACGGGUGAGUAAUGUAUGGGGACUGCCCGAUAGAGGGGGAUAACUACCGGAAACGGUAGCUAAUACCCCAUAUUAUCGGAUCACCCAUUUGGGAUGAGCUAGUGGGUGAGGUAACGGCUCACCUAGGCGACGAUGCCUAGCUGGCCGGAGAGGGUGUUCAGCCAGACUGGGACGGAGACACGGCCCAGACGCCUACGGAGGCAGCAGUGGGGAAUAUUGCGCAAUGGGCGCAAGCCUGAAGGAGCCAUGCCGAGUGUGUGAAGAAGGCCUUAGGGUUGUAAAGCGCUUUCAUCAGGGAGGCGUUACCCGCAGAGGAAGCACCGGAUAACUCCGGGCCAGCAGCCGCGGUAAUAC